Molecule: long non-coding RNA, 1755 nt
Organism: Pygoscelis adeliae (Adelie penguin)
Lineage: Eukaryota; Metazoa; Chordata; Aves; Sphenisciformes; Spheniscidae
Exons: 8
Source: RefSeq, a predicted model, not a curated record
GCUGCUCACCGGUCUUGUGGUUUGUGGAUGAGGACCAGAACCCAUUGAUCUGUACACUGGAGGGAAGGCACUGAUCACUGGGGCUGGUGACCUAUAUGUGAAAGCGUGACUGACAGCAGUUGCGAUUGCAAAACAAACUGGAGAAGAAAUGAAGAAAUGCCUCAUGCUGAGGAUGCACUCAAAUGAAAACUCAGAAAUGAAAAGUCAGAAAGGCAAUUAAGUGAUCUGUGCAUGGAUGCUACUGCUGUCUCCAGAAGAAAAAAUGAGUGCUUAAUCAGAAGCAUAAAUUCAUAAGACUGGCUAAUGAUACUCUCCUUCAACCUGAGCACUUCUACUGGAACAGAAGGAUAUUCAAAAUCUUCCUGUCUCCUGGAAAGUCCAUAGAGCUGGAGGCAGUAUCACGGAAUCCUUGGUUAGCAAAGUGAGUGGGAAUAUAUGUGAGUUGGAAAAUAUAUCCACAAGACCACUGGAAACUGCAUAUUUUUAUUUAAACUCGAUCCUGCUGUGCUUAGUGUCAGAGCUAAAAAGUGAACCUGGUAUGAACAGAAAGUGAAGCAGAAAACUACAAUUUGGCUUCCCCAGAUCAGCAAAUGGCAAAAUCAACCAGGGCUUUGUCAGAGUGGAAGAGCUCCAAUUGGUUAAUACUCAGACAGGCUGUUGAAGUUCCAGUCUGGUUUUCUAAUUUAGAAGUGCUACUGGAUGACAUAAAUGUUUGAAUGGAAAGGAACAUAGGAGACCUAAUAGGAAAUCUGUAGCCAGAGUGCCCUAUUACUUCACCACAGACUCUUAGGAGAUGGUUCUCUUCCCUCAUCCCUAAAAGUAAAGGUGAUCUUAGUUUAUCUGGCUUCUCAGCUAACCUGUUACAGAAGGCCACCUCAAUAUUUGAAAAGUACCGAGUUUAUUUGAAAAACAUUAAGUCUUGCAAUGGAUUACAUUGGAAGAGAGGCUAACUGGGCUGGAGAUUGGGGAGUGCUUUGAGCAGUCUUAACUGAUGGAAGGAGAAGAUAGGCAGGGAAGGAAAAAACUCCCCUGCCUACUAAAAUGCCACGUACCUAGGACUGGUCCUGUGUAAACUCUCAGAGCUCCCAAGUACUGGCUUUUAUACUGUACUUCAAGUGAGACCAAAGGAUGGAAAACUGGUCGUCUGAGUUAUUUUGAGGUUUUUAUUAUGUUCAGGGAUUAAUUUGGAUGACAACAAUGGUGUUUUUAGUGCAACAAGUAGAAUUAAGUAAGCAGUCUGGCAGAAGAUCUGAGAAGCAGAAGGUGAAAAUAAAUAAAAUGGAGCAGUGAAGAAUGCAGAAAGAAACAGAAAGUGUUCAAAGGCAUGCAAACGCGAUGAAGGCUGAAGCCAAAUUCAUAUGCAAACAUCUAAGAACUGCUUAGUGAGUCCGUCCAAAAUCCUGCUCCUGAAGAAGAGAUUGGUUGGUGUUUACGGAACAGAAAACAUGUGUACUCAUAAAAUUUAAUGGAGUGGAAUUGCCUGAAAGAACGGGACCAUUUUUAAUACACCUUUCUGUGGCUCCUUGGUACAUAUGUGAACAAUUUUAAUAAAAAAUGUUGAUUCGUAGUGAUUCUUAGACGUCUUGUGGUUGAUCAUCUGUACUGGACAGAUGGAUUCGGUCACUGUAAGCCAAAUAAAUAAAUUAGCGCUAUCUUUGAAAUGUAUAGCUACACUUGGCAUCUGCAGUUACCGUACUCCCUCCCCUCAGUUCAGAUGCCUUCACCUACACUGCUGAACUGGCCUAACUUUAUAUU